Molecule: microRNA precursor, 84 nt
Filed under: Loxodonta africana (African savanna elephant)
Lineage: Eukaryota; Metazoa; Chordata; Mammalia; Proboscidea; Elephantidae
Description: mir-544 microRNA precursor family
Rfam family: mir-544 microRNA precursor family
Source: Rfam by way of RNAcentral
AUCACCUGGGGAUCUUGUUAAAAUGCACAUUUUCUUUAAUAGGUCUAGAGUCUGCAUUUCUAACAAGCUCCUGAGUGAUGGCAA